RNAcentral lists this ribosomal RNA (253 nucleotides) under uncultured bacterium. RNAcentral's name for it is "partial 16S ribosomal RNA". It matches the Rfam family "Bacterial small subunit ribosomal RNA", at positions 524 to 776 of the family's 1533-position model. The record is from RNAcentral.
UACGGAGGGUGCAAGCGUUAUCCGGAUUCACUGGGUUUAAAGGGUGCGUAGGCGGGCAGGUAAGUCCGUGGUGAAAUCUCUGAGCUUAACUCAGAAACUGCCAUGGAUACUAUUUGUCUUGAAUAUUGUGGAGGUAAGCGGAAUAUGUCAUGUAGCGGUGAAAUGCUUAGAUAUGACAUAGAACACCAAUUGCGAAGGCAGCUUACUACACAGUUAUUGACGCUGAGGUGCGAAAGCGUGGGGAGCAAACAGG